GAGUGGGCGGAGUCAGAAAGAACAGAAGGGUACCAGACGUGUUGUCUCAGUGGGCGUUUACAAACUGUCGGUUGACGAUAGCAACGGCAAACGAUAAAGUCAUAAAAUUCCUCUUACGGCGGGUAGAAAAAUCCUCUAAAAGCCUUCCUCAUUAUUCACGAAAGUCUGUCGCUGACGCGCUCGCUCUAAAUAGGUCUUACAGUGCUGGGAUGUGUCACAAGGCAGGAUAGUUCGCACUGGUACUCUUGGGGACGUGAGCCGUUCAUACUAAGAUUGGAGGCACGAGUUUUACAUCACACAACGCCCUUGUAGCGACCACAAGUACAUCAGGUUGUCUUUUCCGUGGUUAUACACCGAGAGGAUUAUUCAUUUUUAUCGACUUUUGAGGAUUUUGAGGAUUUUCUUUUGGCGGGAAAGAUGUCUGCUAUGACGGGACUGACGGACGCUGCGUUCGGCGUUUCUUUCAACCGACUGCUGAAGUCCGACUCGACCCGAAGACGCGCGAAGUCUUCCCGGACCGGUAUCCGAAAGAAGAAGUCUACCGACAUCGUGAUGUCUAAAGAACUCCCUGAUGUGGUGAGAGAGUCUGAGACUGACUUCUCAAGAAAUAACGACGCCAAGACGUCGCAAGUUUACAGCUGAAGAUCCAAAAAGGAAGAAACGUGCGGACAUCGAACAACUGACUGUCAAGAGAACAAAGACUUAUUUGCUUAACAACACUGACAGACGUCUGCAACUAACACGUGUUUUCCACCGUCGCGCACAAUGUUAUCUUCUACAAACUACUAUAUUCACGUUAUACAUGACAAAAACAAGCCAAGGCAUAAUUUAAAAAAUGCAUGAUGUUAUUCUGUAUAGCACUUUUGAAAAAAAA
Long non-coding RNA from Branchiostoma belcheri (Belcher's lancelet), 874 nucleotides. RefSeq lists it as uncharacterized. The transcript is spliced from 2 exons. The record is from RefSeq and is a predicted model, not a curated record. Lineage: Eukaryota; Metazoa; Chordata; Leptocardii; Amphioxiformes; Branchiostomatidae.